Molecule: long non-coding RNA, 435 nt
Organism: Triticum dicoccoides
Lineage: Eukaryota; Viridiplantae; Streptophyta; Magnoliopsida; Poales; Poaceae
Exons: 3
Source: RefSeq, a predicted model, not a curated record
CCAGUCCUGUCUCUCGGCGCCUCGUAGGUGGGAGCUCGCUGGCUGCUCAAGUGGCCAUUGACGGCGGCAAGCUGGGAGCCGGCGAGCUUGGAGCUGAAACGGAAGCUGAUGAAACCAUGAGUGGCAAGUGGCUGACGAGCUGCAGGGUGUACACGAGGACCACCUCUCCUUGCUUUCCCUUGGUGCCAGGAAACAUGGAUUGUGCUGAUGACCCUGGCAGCAGCAGCAGAAGCAACUGGGGCAAAAUGAUGAGCAAAAUUGUUACUUGUUACUCCUUCCCCAUUCUCUAUGUGUAUGUUCAACACAUCCACUGUAACAACCCUUUUGCCCAUGUAGGUUCAUCGAAUAGAUGCCAAAAAUAAGUUUGUCAGAACAACAGUUAAUUUUUUUUAACCAAACAAUUCAAAAAAUGAGGAAAGAAGUUCAUAUAUAAUA